Molecule: ribosomal RNA, 255 nt
Filed under: uncultured bacterium
Lineage: Bacteria
Description: partial 16S ribosomal RNA
Rfam family: Bacterial small subunit ribosomal RNA
Source: RNAcentral
UACGUAGGGUGCAAGCGUUAUCCGGAGUUAUUGGGCGUAAAGAGCUCGUAGGCGGUUUGUCGCGUCUGCCGUGAAAGUCCGGGGCUCAACUCCGGAUCUGCGGUGGGUACGGGCAGACUAGAGUGCAGUAGGGGAGACUGGAAUUCCUGGUGUAGCGGUGAAAUGCGCAGAUAUCAGGAGGAACACCGAUGGCGAAGGCAGGUCUCUGGGCUGGUAACUGACGCUGGAGGAGCGAAAGCAUGGGGAGCGAACAGG